UAAGCGACUAAGCGUACACGGUGGAUGCCCUGGCAGUCAGAGGCGAUGAAGGACGUGCUAAUCUGCGAUAAGCGUCGGUAAGGUGAUAUGAACCGUUAUAACCGGCGAUUUCCGAAUGGGGAAACCCAGUGUGAUUCGUCACACUAUCAUUAACUGAAUCCAUAGGUUAAUGAGGCGAACCGGGGGAACUGAAACAUCUAAGUACCCCGAGGAAAAGAAAUCAACCGAGAUUCCCCCAGUAGCGGCGAGCGAACGGGGAGGAGCCCAGAGCCUGAAUCAGUGUGUGUGUUAGUGGAAGCGUCUGGAAAGGCGCGCGAUACAGGGUGACAGCCCCGUACACAAAAAUGCACAUGCUGUGAGCUCGAUGAGUAGGGCGGGACACGUGGUAUCCUGUCUGAAUAUGGGGGGACCAUCCUCCAAGGCUAAAUACUCCUGACUGACCGAUAGUGAACCAGUACCGUGAGGGAAAGGCGAAAAGAACCCCGGCGAGGGGAGUGAAAAGAACCUGAAACCGUGUACGUACAAGCAGUGGGAGCACGCUUAGGCGUGUGACUGCGUACCUUUUGUAUAAUGGGUCAGCGACUUAUAUUCUGUAGCAAGGUUAACCGAAUAGGGGAGCCGAAGGGAAACCGAGUCUUAACUGGGCGUUAAGUUGCAGGGUAUAGACCCGAAACCCGGUGAUCUAGCCAUGGGCAGGUUGAAGGUUGGGUAACACUAACUGGAGGACCGAACCGACUAAUGUUGAAAAAUUAGCGGAUGACUUGUGGCUGGGGGUGAAAGGCCAAUCAAACCGGGAGAUAGCUGGUUCUCCCCGAAAGCUAUUUAGGUAGCGCCUCGUGAACUCAUCUCCGGGGGUAGAGCACUGUUUCGGCAAGGGGGUCAUCCCGACUUACCAACCCGAUGCAAACUGCGAAUACCGGAGAAUGUUAUCACGGGAGACACACGGCGGGUGCUAACGUCCGUCGUGGAGAGGGAAACAACCCAGACCGCCAGCUAAGGUCCCAAAGUCAUGGUUAAGUGGGAAACGAUGUGGGAAGGCCCAGACAGCCAGGAUGUUGGCUUAGAAGCAGCCAUCAUUUAAAGAAAGCGUAAUAGCUCACUGGUCGAGUCGGCCUGCGCGGAAGAUGUAACGGGGCUAAACCAUGCACCGAAGCUGCGGCAGCGACGCUUAUGCGUUGUUGGGUAGGGGAGCGUUCUGUAAGCCUGUGAAGGUGUGCUGUGAGGCAUGCUGGAGGUAUCAGAAGUGCGAAUGCUGACAUAAGUAACGAUAAAGCGGGUGAAAAGCCCGCUCGCCGGAAGACCAAGGGUUCCUGUCCAACGUUAAUCGGGGCAGGGUGAGUCGACCCCUAAGGCGAGGCCGAAAGGCGUAGUCGAUGGGAAACAGGUUAAUAUUCCUGUACUUGGUGUUACUGCGAAGGGGGGACGGAGAAGGCUAUGUUGGCCGGGCGACGGUUGUCCCGGUUUAAGCGUGUAGGCUGGUUUUCCAGGCAAAUCCGGAAAAUCAAGGCUGAGGCGUGAUGACGAGGCACUACGGUGCUGAAGCAACAAAUGCCCUGCUUCCAGGAAAAGCCUCUAAGCAUCAGGUAACAUCAAAUCGUACCCCAAACCGACACAGGUGGUCAGGUAGAGAAUACCAAGGCGCUUGAGAGAACUCGGGUGAAGGAACUAGGCAAAAUGGUGCCGUAACUUCGGGAGAAGGCACGCUGAUAUGUAGGUGAAGUCCCUCGCGGAUGGAGCUGAAAUCAGUCGAAGAUACCAGCUGGCUGCAACUGUUUAUUAAAAACACAGCACUGUGCAAACACGAAAGUGGACGUAUACGGUGUGACGCCUGCCCGGUGCCGGAAGGUUAAUUGAUGGGGUCAGCGCAAGCGAAGCUCUUGAUCGAAGCCCCGGUAAACGGCGGCCGUAACUAUAACGGUCCUAAGGUAGCGAAAUUCCUUGUCGGGUAAGUUCCGACCUGCACGAAUGGCGUAAUGAUGGCCAGGCUGUCUCCACCCGAGACUCAGUGAAAUUGAACUCGCUGUGAAGAUGCAGUGUACCCGCGGCAAGACGGAAAGACCCCGUGAACCUUUACUAUAGCUUGACACUGAACAUUGAGCCUUGAUGUGUAGGAUAGGUGGGAGGCUUAGAAGUGUGGACGCCAGUCUGCAUGGAGCCGACCUUGAAAUACCACCCUUUAAUGUUUGAUGUUCUAACGUUGACCCGUAAUCCGGGUUGCGGACAGUGUCUGGUGGGUAGUUUGACUGGGGCGGUCUCCUCCUAAAGAGUAACGGAGGAGCACGAAGGUUGGCUAAUCCUGGUCGGACAUCAGGAGGUUAGUGCAAUGGCAUAAGCCAGCUUGACUGCGAGCGUGACGGCGCGAGCAGGUGCGAAAGCAGGUCAUAGUGAUCCGGUGGUUCUGAAUGGAAGGGCCAUCGCUCAACGGAUAAAAGGUACUCCGGGGAUAACAGGCUGAUACCGCCCAAGAGUUCAUAUCGACGGCGGUGUUUGGCACCUCGAUGUCGGCUCAUCACAUCCUGGGGCUGAAGUAGGUCCCAAGGGUAUGGCUGUUCGCCAUUUAAAGUGGUACGCGAGCUGGGUUUAGAACGUCGUGAGACAGUUCGGUCCCUAUCUGCCGUGGGCGCUGGAGAACUGAGGGGGGCUGCUCCUAGUACGAGAGGACCGGAGUGGACGCAUCACUGGUGUUCGGGUUGUCAUGCCAAUGGCACUGCCCGGUAGCUAAAUGCGGAAGAGAUAAGUGCUGAAAGCAUCUAAGCACGAAACUUGCCCCGAGAUGAGUUCUCCCUGACUCCUUGAGAGUCCUGAAGGAACGUUGAAGACGACGACGUUGAUAGGCCGGGUGUGUAAGCGCAGCGAUGCGUUGAGCUAACCGGUACUAAUGAACCGUGAGGCUUAACCU
Molecule: ribosomal RNA, 2899 nt
Filed under: Escherichia coli DEC7C
Lineage: Bacteria; Pseudomonadati; Pseudomonadota; Gammaproteobacteria; Enterobacterales; Enterobacteriaceae
Description: bacterial LSU rRNA
Rfam family: Bacterial large subunit ribosomal RNA
Source: RNAcentral